This 1179-nucleotide long non-coding RNA is filed under the name Carassius auratus (goldfish). RNAcentral's name for it is "lncRNA (ENSCARG00000032128.1)". The record is from RNAcentral. Lineage: Eukaryota; Metazoa; Chordata; Actinopteri; Cypriniformes; Cyprinidae.
GUAAGUGUCAGUUAUUUGAAAUAUAAGUUUAGGACAAACACAUUCUACGUGAAAUAUUUCCACAAAACGUGUUUGUUAGGUUUCGAAGUACACAGAACUGACUUGAUUAAAGGUCAUCGCACAAAUGGUUCAUUUACUUUGAGGAAAGCUUGUGCAGGUGCUAAUUUACUAUGUAAUGUAAAGAAAUAUAUCAGCGGAAUACAACUGUGACUUUGUGGUCCUAAAGUGUUUUAUUUCUGAGCAGUGCUGCUUCUGCGUGUGAACAGAGAGUGUCUCUGGUGUUUUCCUGAUACGUCUGAUGUCAGGCGAGUUCUUUGUGGUGCUGAUUUUCAUUUCAUGUUUGUGUCUCUGACCUGUUUUCACGCCUGUAAACCUGUGAGCAUUACUUCAAAGCAGCGUUCACAUUUUCACCCACUUUAAGAGCGACCAUUUUGUUUUGAGGGGGGGUUAUUAUUGAAGACCCGCUCUGUGCCCAUCUUAGGCAUGGAUGGACUGUGCAGUAUUAUCCUUGUUCUUUUACUCACAGUAGCAGGAGCUUUCAAUAUUACCCCUGAAGAGGAGAAAAUUAACGUCCAUCUGGAACCAAAGUACAUUGAAGUUUGUGAAGAAGCUUCAGUCACAUUCAACUGCACUUUUCAGCCUCGUGGAAAGUACAAAGUGAGCUGGCAUUAUAGCCAGACACCUUAUUUAGACUGUGAAACAGAAAACAAGAUACCUGAAGGACAGAGAUUUUUUAAAGAGGAAGAUGAAGAUUGGUCAACACUCAACAUUACUUUUAACAAAGCCAGUGAGAGCGGAUGGUACUUCUGCAAGGUUACAAAAGACAUCCCGGUUCUCUUACGAUACUGCAGUAAUGGAACACAGGUUAUAGUCGAUGCCACUAGCAAUAGCACCAGCAGCACAACCAGCACCAGAACCACAGAAUCUCAGAAUCAGACAACAGCACAUUUACCUACAACUUGCAUGAACAAUGAUACAACAACCUCCACACCACCCAUGAUAUCAAAGGAGAAGUCUACUCAGUGGUGGAUAUGGCUAGCAUUGGCUGUUGGAUGCGCGGUACUUCUUGUGUCAAUUGUUGUCAUAUGCAUUUUGACACGCAAACCUGAAGUGUUUGGCUCAGUCCGCUGAUAAGAAUUAUUUCAAAUGGAGGACAUAAGCAUCAUAAAGCAUUAAGAU